GGAUCGUACGAUGUCGACUUGGAGGUUGUGCCCUUGAGGCGUGGCUUCCGGAGCUAACGCGUUAAGUCGACCGCCUGGGGAGUACGGCCGCAAGGUUAAAACUCAAAUGAAUUGACGGGGGCCCGCACAAGCGGUGGAGCAUGUGGUUUAAUUCGAUGCAACGCGAAGAACCUUACCUACUCUUGACAUCCAGAGAACUUUCCAGAGAUGGUUUGGUGCCUUCGGGAACUCUGAGACAGGUGCUGCAUGGCUGUCGUCAGCUCGUGUUGUGAAAUGUUGGGUUAAGUCCCGCAACGAGCGCAACCCUUAUCCUUUGUUGCCAGCGGUCAGGCCGGGAACUCAAAGGAGACUGCCAGUGAUAAACUGGAGGAAGGUGGGGAUGACGUCAAGUCAUCAUGGCCCUUACGAGUAGGGCUACACACGUGCUACAAUGGCGCAUACAAAGAGAAGCGACCUCGCGAGAGCAAGCGGACCUCAUAAAGUGCGUCGUAGUCCGGAUUGGAGUCUGCAACUCGACUCCAUGAAGUCGGAAUCGCUAGUAAUCGUGGAUCAGAAUGCCACGGUGAAUACGUUCCCGGGCCUUGUACACACCGCCCGUCACACCAUGGGAGUGGGUUGCAAAAGAAGUAGGUAGCUUAACCUUCGGGAGGGCGCUUACCACUUUGUGAUUCAUGACUGGGGUGAAGUCGUAAAAAGGGUAAACCA
Molecule: ribosomal RNA, 705 nt
Filed under: Enterobacter sp.
Lineage: Bacteria; Pseudomonadati; Pseudomonadota; Gammaproteobacteria; Enterobacterales; Enterobacteriaceae
Description: bacterial SSU rRNA
Rfam family: Bacterial small subunit ribosomal RNA
Source: RNAcentral